This 390-nucleotide ribosomal RNA is filed under the name uncultured bacterium. RNAcentral's name for it is "bacterial SSU rRNA". It matches the Rfam family "Bacterial small subunit ribosomal RNA", at positions 144 to 518 of the family's 1533-position model. The record is from RNAcentral.
UAACAUCCGGAAACGGGUGCUAAUACCGCAUAGUUUCUUGAUCGCAUGAUCGGGAAAGGAAAGACGGCCUUUGUGCUGUCGCUUAUGGAUGGACCCGCGGCGUAUUAGUUAGUUGGUGAGGUAACGGCUCACCAAGACGAUGAUACGUAGCCGACCUGAGAGGUGAUCGGCCACAUUGGGACUGAGACACGGCCCAAACUCCUACGGGAGGCAGCAGUAGGGAAUCUUCCGCAAUGGACGAAAGUCUGACGGAGCAACGCCGCGUGAGUGAAAAGAAGGUUUUCGGAUCGUAAAACUCUGUUGUCAGAGAAGAACAAGUUGGAGAGUAACUGCUCCAGCCUUGACGGUAUCUGACCAGAAAGCCACGGCUAACUACGUGCCAGCCGCCGC